UAAAUAAAAAGAAAAUAUAAUGGAAAUAAUAAUAUAAAACUAAUUGAUUUAAAGAUAUAGCUAUAAUAAUAUGUACAUAAAUUGGAAAUAAAUGUAAAAGGGAGGACUACGCGCGGAUGAGAUGGAGGGACUGAAUGGGAAAUAAUUCCCACCCUCCAAAACGCACAGUUCCAUCAGAGACUAAAAUCGAAGCCGGGAUAAAUUAUAGGGCAAAAUUAAAAAAGAAAAAAAACUUGAUUGUAAAUAAUAAAAAAGGUGGAAGGGCCAUGUACAGCCCAAUAUUUUGCCAGCCCAAUAUUUUGCCCAGCCCAAAACCCAUUACAAACUAAAAAACCCAAACAACAAAAAAAACCAGCCCAAUAAGCCUAAGCCUAAACCUAACCCUAGCCCAGAAAUCCAAAUCAGAAACAAAUUUUUCAAACCCUAGGUGCACCGGACCUAGGGUUCUCUGCCUAGCGCCGCACGUCCCAUCGGCC
Molecule: long non-coding RNA, 476 nt
Filed under: Gossypium raimondii (Peruvian cotton)
Lineage: Eukaryota; Viridiplantae; Streptophyta; Magnoliopsida; Malvales; Malvaceae
Description: long non-coding RNA (GRAI_LNC006302)
Source: RNAcentral